AUCGCUUCUCGGCUUUUUGGCUAAGAUAAAGUGUAGUAUCUAUUCUUAUCAUUCCAGUAACUAUCAGGUAUAUUUUGGGAGGAAUCAUU
This is a small nuclear RNA of Anolis carolinensis (green anole), 89 nucleotides long. Its record names the gene U2. It matches the Rfam family "U2 spliceosomal RNA". Rfam says of the family: U2 is a small nuclear RNA (snRNA) component of the spliceosome (involved in pre-mRNA splicing). Complementary binding between U2 snRNA (in an area lying towards the 5' end but 3' to hairpin I) and the branchpoint sequence (BPS) of the intron results the bulging out of an unpaired adenosine, on the BPS, which initiates a nucleophilic attack at the intronic 5' splice site, thus starting the first of two transesterification reactions that mediate splicing. The record is from Ensembl. NCBI's taxonomy places the organism in Eukaryota, Metazoa, Chordata, Lepidosauria, Squamata, Anolidae.